AGCGAACGCUGGCGGCAGGCCUAACACAUGCAAGUCGAUCGAAGUCUUCGGACUUAGUGGCGGACGGGUGCGUUACACGUGGGAACGUGCCUUUAGGUUCGGAAUAACUCAGGGAAACUUGUACUAAUACCGAAUGUGCCCUUCGGGGGUAAGAUUUAUCGCCUUUAGAGCGGCCCGCGUCUGAUUAGCUAGUUGGUGAGGUAAAGGCUCACCAAGGCGACGAUCAGUAGCUGGUCUGAGAGAAUGAUCAGCCACAUUGGGACCGAGACAAGGCCCAAACUCCUACGGGAGGCAGCAGUGGGGAAUCUUGCGCAAUGGGCGAAAGCCUGACGCAGCCAUGCCGCGUGAAUGAUGAAGGUCUUAGGAGUGUAAAAUUCUUUCACCGGGGACGAUAAUGACGGUACCCGGAGAAGAAGCCCCGGCUAACUUCGUGCCAGCAGCCGCGGUAA
RNAcentral lists this ribosomal RNA (449 nucleotides) under uncultured bacterium. RNAcentral's name for it is "partial 16S ribosomal RNA". It matches the Rfam family "Bacterial small subunit ribosomal RNA", at positions 29 to 523 of the family's 1533-position model. The record is from RNAcentral.